CGGUAUGGGAUGGGGUCGCGUCCUAUCAGCUUGAUGGCGGGGUAACGGCCCACCAUGGCUUCGACGGGUAGCCGCCCUGAGAGGGCGACCGGCCACAUUGGGACUGAGAUACGGCCCAGACUCCUACGGGAGGCAGCAGUGGGGAAUAUUGCACAAUGGGCGCAAGCCUGAUGCAGCGACGCCGCGUGCGGGAUGACGGCCUUCGGGUUGUAAACCGCUUUUGACUGGGAGCAAGCCCUUCGGGGUGAGUGUACCUUUCGAAUAAGCACCGGCUAACUACGUGCCAGCAGCCGCGGUAAUACGUAGGGUGCAAGCGUUAUCCGGAAUUAUUGGGCGUAAAGGGCUCGUAGGCGGUUCGUCGCGUCCGGUGUGAAAGUCCAUCGCUUAACGGUGGAUCCGCGCCGGGUACGGGCGGG
This 416-nucleotide ribosomal RNA is filed under the name uncultured Bifidobacterium sp. RNAcentral's name for it is "bacterial SSU rRNA". It matches the Rfam family "Bacterial small subunit ribosomal RNA", at positions 216 to 640 of the family's 1533-position model. Lineage: Bacteria; Bacillati; Actinomycetota; Actinomycetes; Bifidobacteriales; Bifidobacteriaceae. The record is from RNAcentral.